This 376-nucleotide ribosomal RNA is filed under the name uncultured bacterium. Its description in RNAcentral is "bacterial SSU rRNA". It matches the Rfam family "Bacterial small subunit ribosomal RNA", at positions 524 to 898 of the family's 1533-position model. The record is from RNAcentral.
UACGUAGGUGGCGAGCGUUGUCCGGAAUUACUGGGUGUAAAGCGCGUGUAGGCGGCAGGCCAAGUCGGUGGUGAAAGCGCCCGGCUCAACUGGGCGAGGUCCAUGGAAACUGGUCAGCUGGAGGACGGUAGAGGCGAGUGGAAUUCCCGGUGUAGUGGUGAAAUGCGUAGAGAUCGGGAGGAACACCUGUGGCGAAGGCGGCUCGCUGGGCCGGUCCUGACGCUGAAACGCGAAGGCGUGGGGAGCGAACGGGAUUAGAUACCCCGGUAGUCCACGCAGUAAACGAUGCACACUAGGUGUCGGGGGUAUCGAGCCCCUCGGUGCCGUAGCUAACGCAGUAAGUGUGCCACCUGGGGAGUACGGCCGCAAGGUUAAA